RNAcentral lists this ribosomal RNA (348 nucleotides) under uncultured Thermus sp. Its description in RNAcentral is "bacterial SSU rRNA". It matches the Rfam family "Bacterial small subunit ribosomal RNA", at positions 1033 to 1382 of the family's 1533-position model. Lineage: Bacteria; Thermotogati; Deinococcota; Deinococci; Thermales; Thermaceae. The record is from RNAcentral.
CACAGGUGCUGCAUGGCCGUCGUCAGCUCGUGCCGUGAGGUGUUGGGUUAAGUCCCGCAACGAGCGCAACCCCCGCCGUUAGUUGCCAGCGGUUCGGCCGGGCACUCUAACGGGACUGCCCGCGAAAGCGGGAGGAAGGAGGGGACGACGUCUGGUCAGCAUGGCCCUUACGGCCUGGGCGACACACGUGCUACAAUGCCCACUACAAAGCGAUGCCACCCGGCAACGGGGAGCUAAUCGCAAAAAGGUGGGCCCAGUUCGGAUUGGGGUCUGCAACCCGACCCCAUGAAGCCGGAAUCGCUAGUAAUCGUGGAUCAGCAUGUCACGGUGAAUACGUUCCCGGGUCUU